AACGAACGCUGGCGGCGUGCUUAACACAUGCAAGUCGAACGUGAAAGUGGCUUCGGCCAUGAGUAAAGUGGCAGACGGGUGAGUAACACGUGGGUAACCUGCCCCUUGGCGGGGGAUAACCAUUCGAAAGGAUGGCUAAUACCGCAUAAGACCACGUCCUUAUGGGAUGGGGUAAAAGACGAAAGUCACCGAGGGAGGGGCCCGCGGCCGAUUAGCUAGUUGGUGAGGUAAUGGCUCACCAAGGCAACGAUCGGUAGCUGGUCUGAGAGGAUGAUCAGCCACACUGGUACUUAGACACGGACCAGACUCCUACGGGAGGCUG
Molecule: ribosomal RNA, 322 nt
Filed under: uncultured Pseudomonadota bacterium
Lineage: Bacteria; Pseudomonadati; Pseudomonadota
Description: bacterial SSU rRNA
Rfam family: Bacterial small subunit ribosomal RNA
Source: RNAcentral